AACGCACAUUGCGCCCCUUGGUAUUCCAUGGGGCAUGCCUGUUCGAGCGUCAUCUACACCCUCAAGCCUUGCUUGGUGUUGGGCGUCUGUCCCGCCUUUGCGCGUGGACUCGCCCCAAAUGGAUUGGCAGCGGUCCUACGCCUCAGUCUCGCGCAGCACAUUGCGUCGACGUCUUGGGGCGGUCCGCGACCCAUGAAGCUUACUUUUACCGUCUUUGACCUCGGAUCAGGUAGGGAUACCCGCUGAACUUAA
This 252-nucleotide unclassified non-coding RNA is filed under the name uncultured fungus. RNAcentral's name for it is "sequence contains ITS2". Lineage: Eukaryota; Fungi. The record is from RNAcentral.